Hevea brasiliensis (rubber tree) is the source of this 115-nucleotide small nucleolar RNA. RefSeq annotates it as small nucleolar RNA snoR100. NCBI's taxonomy places the organism in Eukaryota, Viridiplantae, Streptophyta, Magnoliopsida, Malpighiales, Euphorbiaceae. The transcript has a single exon. The record is from RefSeq and is a predicted model, not a curated record.
GAAUGAAGGUAGCAUGGUAGUGCGCACAGAAAUUGAAUUGAUGGUCAACAUGUCUGCUCUCUCUGAUGCCUCUGUUGGUGGGCUUUGAUUUGGGCCCUGGUUUCGACCAAAAUUU